GAACGCUAGCUACAGGCUUAACACAUGCAAGUCGAGGGGCAGCAUGGUCUUAGCUUGCUAAGGCCGAUGGCGACCGGCGCACGGGUGAGUAACACGUAUCCAACCUGCCGUCUACUCUUGGACAGCCUUCUGAAAGGAAGAUUAAUACAAGAUGGCAUCAUGAGUCCGCAUGUUCACAUGAUUAAAGGUAUUCCGGUAGACGAUGGGGAUGCGUUCCAUUAGAUAGUAGGCGGGGUAACGGCCCACCUAGUCUUCGAUGGAUAGGGGUUCUGAGAGGAAGGUCCCCCACAUUGGAACUGAGACACGGUCCAAACUCCUACGGGAGGCAGCAGUGAGGAAUAUUGGUCAAUGGGCGAGAGCCUGAACCAGCCAAGUAGCGUGAAGGAUGACUGCCCUAUGGGUUGUAAACUUCUUUUAUAAAGGAAUAAAGUCGGGUAUGGAUACCCGUUUGCAUGUACUUUAUGAAUAAGGAUCGGCUAACUCCGUGCCAGCAGCCGCGGUAAUACGGAGGAUCCGAGCGUUAUCCGGAUUUAUUGGGUUUAAAGGGAGCGUAGAUGGAUGUUUAAGUCAGUUGUGAAAGUUUGCGGCUCAACCGUAAAAUUGCAGUUGAUACUGGAUAUCUUGAGUGCAGUUGAGGCAGGCGGAAUUCGUGGUGUAGCGGUGAAAUGCUUAGAUAUCACGAAGAACUCCGAUUGCGAAGGCAGCCUGCUAAGCUGCAACUGACAUUGAGGCUCGAAAGUGUGGGUAUCAAACAGGAUUAGAUACCCUGGUAGUCCACACGGUAAACGAUGAAUACUCGCUGUUUGCGAUAUACUGCAAGCGGCCAAGCGAAAGCGUUAAGUAUUCCACCUGGGGAGUACGCCGGCAACGGUGAAACUCAAAGGAAUUGACGGGGGCCCGCACAAGCGGAGGAACAUGUGGUUUAAUUCGAUGAUACGCGAGGAACCUUACCCGGGCUUAAAUUGCAGAUGAAUUACGGUGAAAGCCGUAAGCCGCAAGGCAUCUGUGAAGGUGCUGCAUGGUUGUCGUCAGCUCGUGCCGUGAGGUGUCGGCUUAAGUGCCAUAACGAGCGCAACCCUUGUUGUCAGUUACUAACAGGUUCCGCUGAGGACUCUGACAAGACUGCCAUCGUAAGAUGUGAGGAAGGUGGGGAUGACGUCAAAUCAGCACGGCCCUUACGUCCGGGGCUACACACGUGUUACAAUGGGGGGUACAGAGGGCCGCUACCACGCGAGUGGAUGCCAAUCCCCAAAACCUCUCUCAGUUCGGACUGGAGUCUGCAACCCGACUCCACGAAGCUGGAUUCGCUAGUAAUCGCGCAUCAGCCACGGCGCGGUGAAUACGUUCCCGGGCCUUGUACACACCGCCCGUCAAGCCAUGGGAGCCGGGGGUACCUGAAGUGCGUAACCGCGAGGAGCGCCCUAGGGUAAAACUGGUGACUGGGG
This 1445-nucleotide ribosomal RNA is filed under the name uncultured organism. Its description in RNAcentral is "SSU rRNA". It matches the Rfam family "Bacterial small subunit ribosomal RNA". The record is from RNAcentral.